RNAcentral lists this ribosomal RNA (394 nucleotides) under uncultured bacterium. Its description in RNAcentral is "partial 16S ribosomal RNA". It matches the Rfam family "Bacterial small subunit ribosomal RNA", at positions 338 to 729 of the family's 1533-position model. The record is from RNAcentral.
CCUACGGGAGGCUGCAGUGAGGAAUAUUGGUCAAUGGCCGAGAGGCUGAACCAGCCAAGUCGCGUGAGGGAAGACGGCCCUACGGGUUGUAAACCUCUUUUGUCAAGGAGCAAAGCGAGGCACGUGUGCCUCAUUGAGAGUACCCGAAGAAAAAGCAUCGGCUAACUCCGUGCCAGCAGCCGCGGUAAUACGGAGGAUGCGAGCGUUAUCCGGAUUUAUUGGGUUUAAAGGGAGCGUAGGCGGGGUGUGAAGUCAGUGGUGAAAAUUGGGGGCCCAACCCCCUAAUUGCCUUUGAAACUGGAAGUCUUGAGUGCGGUAGAAGUAGGCGGAAUGCGUGGUGUAGCGGUGAAAUGCUUAGAUAUCACGCAGAACUCCGAUUGCGAAGGCAGCAUAC